This 380-nucleotide ribosomal RNA is filed under the name uncultured bacterium. RNAcentral describes it as "bacterial SSU rRNA". It matches the Rfam family "Bacterial small subunit ribosomal RNA", at positions 524 to 900 of the family's 1533-position model. The record is from RNAcentral.
UACGUAGGGGGCGAGCGUUGUCCGGAUUCAUUGGGCGUAAAGAGCUCGUAGGCGGCUUGGUAAGUCGGGUGUGAAACCUCCAGGCUCAACCUGGAGACGCCACUCGAGACUGUCCUGGCUGGAGUCCGGUAGGGGACCACGGAAUUCCUGGUGUAGCGGUGAAAUGCGCAGAUAUCAGGAGGAACACCAGUGGCGAAGGCGGUGGUCUGGGCCGGUACUGACGCUGAGGGGCGAAAGCGUGGGGAGCGAACAGGAUUAGAUACCCUGGUAGUCCACGCCGUAAACGUUGGGCACUAGGUGUGGGACCUUAUCAACGGGUUCCGUGCCGCAGCUAACGCAUUAAGUGCCCCGCCUGGGGAGUACGGCCGCAAGGCUAAAAC